GCUACCAUGCAGUCGAACGGUAACAGGAAGUAGCUUGCUACUUUGCUGACGAGAGGAGCACGGGUGAGUAAUAUAUAGGUAAUGUGCCCCUUGGACCGGGAUAGCCACUGGAAACGGUGAUUAAUACUGGAUACUCCUUCUAACUCUAAUGUUAGUCGGGAAAUGGAUUCCGCCAAGGGAUCGGCCUAUAUCCUAUCAGCUUGUUGGUAGUGUAAGAGACUACCAAGGCAAUGACGGGUAGCGGGUUUGAGAGGAUGAUCCGCCACACUGGUACUGAGACACGGACCAGACUCCUACGGGAGGCAGCAGUGAGGAAUAUUGCACAAUGGGGGAAACCCUGAUGCAGCAACGCCGCGUGGAGGAUGACGCAUUUCGGUGUGUAAACUCUUUUUAUAUGUCAAGAAAAUGACGGUAGCAUAUGAAUAAGCACCGGCUAACUCCGUGCCAGCAGCCGCGGUAAUACGGAGGGUGCAAGCGUUAUUCGGAAUCACUGGGCGUAAAGGACGUGUAGGCGGGUUGGUAAGUCAGAUGUGAAAUCCUACAGCUUAACUGUAGAACUGCAUUUGAAACUACUAACCUAGAGUAUGGGAGGGGGAGAUGGAAUUAGUGGUGUAGGGGUAAAAUCCGUAGAUAUCACUAGGAAUACCGAAA
This 651-nucleotide ribosomal RNA is filed under the name uncultured bacterium. RNAcentral describes it as "bacterial SSU rRNA". It matches the Rfam family "Bacterial small subunit ribosomal RNA", at positions 48 to 714 of the family's 1533-position model. The record is from RNAcentral.